This 54-nucleotide transfer RNA is filed under the name Sceliphron madraspatanum. Its description in RNAcentral is "tRNA-Val". The record is from RNAcentral. Lineage: Eukaryota; Metazoa; Arthropoda; Insecta; Hymenoptera; Sphecidae.
AAAAUUUUAGUUUAAUAAAAAUAUUUUAUUUACAAUAAAAAGAUUUAUAUUUUU